This 260-nucleotide ribosomal RNA is filed under the name Megalophaedusa mikado. Its description in RNAcentral is "partial 16S ribosomal RNA". The record is from RNAcentral. Lineage: Eukaryota; Metazoa; Mollusca; Gastropoda; Stylommatophora; Clausiliidae.
UUUCUGUCUCUUAUUAAUUUCUAGUAACUUACUUUUAGGAAGUGAAAAGACUUCCAUAUUUACAAAAGACGAGAAGACCCUAAGAAUUUCCAAGAAGAAAACUAUAGGUUUUUGAUUUUUUGUUGGGGCAACAAAGGAACACCAGAAAAUUUCCUGUUUUAAUUAAUCACAUACGCCGAAAAUUUUUAUGUAAAAAUAAAUUACCUUAGGGAUAACAGCAUAAUAAUAUUGUUUAGUUUGUGACCUCGAUGUUGGACUAG